Molecule: ribosomal RNA, 409 nt
Filed under: Streptococcus mitis
Lineage: Bacteria; Bacillati; Bacillota; Bacilli; Lactobacillales; Streptococcaceae
Description: bacterial SSU rRNA
Rfam family: Bacterial small subunit ribosomal RNA
Source: RNAcentral
GACGAACGCUGGCGGCGUGCCUAAUACAUGCAAGUAGAACGCUGAAGGAGGAGCUUGCUUCUCUGGAUGAGUUGCGAACGGGUGAGUAACGCGUAGGUAACCUGCCUGGUAGCGGGGGAUAACUAUUGGAAACGAUAGCUAAUACCGCAUAAGAGUAGAUGUUGCAUGACAUUUGCUUAAAAGGUGCAAUUGCAUCACUACCAGAUGGACCUGCGUUGUAUUAGCUAGUUGGUGAGGUAACGGCUCACCAAGGCAACGAUACAUAGCCGACCUGAGAGGGUGAUCGGCCACACUGGGACUGAGACACGGCCCAGACUCCUACGGGAGGCAGCAGUAGGGAAUCUUCGGCAAUGGACGGAAGUCUGACCCGAGCAAACGCCCGCGUGAGUGAAAGAAAGGUUUUUCGGAU